RNAcentral lists this transfer RNA (84 nucleotides) under Methylobacterium radiotolerans. RNAcentral describes it as "tRNA-Tyr". It matches the Rfam family "tRNA". Rfam says of the family: Transfer RNA (tRNA) molecules are approximately 80 nucleotides in length. The record is from RNAcentral. Lineage: Bacteria; Pseudomonadati; Pseudomonadota; Alphaproteobacteria; Hyphomicrobiales; Methylobacteriaceae.
GGGUGUGUGACCCGAGCGGCAAAGGGCGCGGACUGUAAAUCCGCCGCGUGAGCUUCGGAGGUUCGAGUCCUCCCACACCCACCA